AUUUUCCGGUUGAUCCUGCAGGACCCGACUGCUAUCAGAGUGGGACUAAGCCAUCAUACCCAGAGGACGUGGAUAACCUCGGGAAACUGAGGAUAAACCGCGAUCAUACCCAGAGGACGUGGAUAACCUCGGGAAACUGAGGAUAAACCGCGAUAGACCAUAAUGUCUGGAAUGAUUUAUGGUUCAAAUCUAUAUGGCCUCUGGAUUGGACUGCGGCCGAUCAGGCUGUUGGUGAGGUAAUGGCCCACCAAACCUGAAACCGGUACGGGCUCUGAGAGGAGAAGCCCGGAGAUGGGCACUGAGAACGAAAGUGUGACAGGGCUAUCCCGAGUGCCGUCCGCUGAGGAUGGCUUUUACCCAGUCUAGAAAGCUGGGGGAAUAAGGAGAGGGCAAGUCUGGUGUCAGCCGCCGCGGUAAUACCAGCUCUCCGAGUGGUGUGGAUGUUUAUUGGGCCAAUCGUUGGAUUGCGGGGGAUACUGCUCGGCUAGGGGACGAGAGAGGCAGACGUAAAGCAUCCGUAGCUGGCCAAGUUAGUCCCUUGUUAAACCCACCGAAUUGUAUUUUCGGGGUAGGGGUGAAAUCCUAUAAUCCCGGGAAGACCACCAGUGGCGAAGGCUGUCUGCUAGAACGCGCCCGACGGUGAGGGAUGAAAGCUGGGGGAGCGAACCGGAUUAGAUACCCGGGUAGUCCCAGCUGUAAACGAUGCAGGCUAGGUGUUUGGACGGCCACGUGCCGUUCUAGUGCCGCAGGGAAGCUGUUAAGCCUGCCGCCUGGGGAGUACGGUCGCAAGAUUGAAACUUAAAGGAAUUGGCGGGGAAU
This 819-nucleotide ribosomal RNA is filed under the name uncultured archaeon. Its description in RNAcentral is "bacterial SSU rRNA". It matches the Rfam family "Archaeal small subunit ribosomal RNA", at positions 1 to 876 of the family's 1478-position model. The record is from RNAcentral.